This 69-nucleotide transfer RNA is filed under the name Ipomoea nil (Japanese morning glory). It matches the Rfam family "tRNA". Rfam says of the family: Transfer RNA (tRNA) molecules are approximately 80 nucleotides in length. Their secondary structure includes four short double-helical elements and three loops (D, anti-codon, and T loops). The record is from Rfam by way of RNAcentral. Lineage: Eukaryota; Viridiplantae; Streptophyta; Magnoliopsida; Solanales; Convolvulaceae.
GCACUAGUGGUCUAGUGGAAGAAUAGUACCCUGCGACGGUAUAGACCUGGGUUCGAUUCCCGUGGUGCA